UUAAAUGUUAAAAACAAUUAUCUACCCAAUCUUGUCUGAUCUCGGAAGUUAAGCAGGGUGGAGCCUGGUUAGUACUUGGAUGGGAGACUGUAGAAACAAUUGGUCUCAUGGAGA
RNAcentral lists this ribosomal RNA (114 nucleotides) under Microcebus murinus (gray mouse lemur). The record is from RNAcentral. Lineage: Eukaryota; Metazoa; Chordata; Mammalia; Primates; Cheirogaleidae.